Molecule: ribosomal RNA, 1536 nt
Filed under: Listeria monocytogenes
Lineage: Bacteria; Bacillati; Bacillota; Bacilli; Caryophanales; Listeriaceae
Description: partial 23S ribosomal RNA
Rfam family: Bacterial large subunit ribosomal RNA
Source: RNAcentral
GGUUAAGUUAGAAAGGGCGCACGGUGGAUGCCUUGGCACUAGGAGCCGAAGAAGGACGGGACUAACACCGAUAUGCUUUGGGGAGCUGUACGUAAGCGUUGAUCCAGAGAUUUCCGAAUGGGGGAACCCACUAUCUUUAGUCGGAUAGUAUCCUUACGUGAAUACAUAGCGUGAGGAAGGCAGACCCAGGGAACUGAAACAUCUAAGUACCUGGAGGAAGAGAAAGAAAAAUCGAUUUCCUGAGUAGCGGCGAGCGAAACGGAAAGAGCCCAAACCAAGAAGCUUGCUUCUUGGGGUUGUAGGACACUCUAUACGGAGUUACAAAAGAAAGUUAUAAAUGAAGCGGUCUGGAAAGGCCCGCCAAAGACGGUAACAGCCCGGUAGUUGAAAUAGCUUUCCCUCCAGAGUGGAUCCUGAGUACGGCGGAACACGUGAAAUUCCGUCGGAAUCCGGGAGGACCAUCUCCCAAGGCUAAAUACUCCCUAGUGACCGAUAGUGAACCAGUACCGUGAGGGAAAGGUGAAAAGCACCCCGGAAGGGGAGUGAAACAGUUCCUGAAACCGUGUGCCUACAAGUAGUUAGAGCCCGUUAAUGGGUGAUAGCGUGCCUUUUGUAGAAUGAACCGGCGAGUUACGAUUUGUUGCAAGGUUAAGCGGAAAAAGCGGAGCCGUAGCGAAAGCGAGUCUGAAUAGGGCGCAUAAGUAACAGGUCGUAGACCCGAAACCAGGUGAUCUACCCAUGUCCAGGAUGAAGGUAAGGUAAUACUUACUGGAGGUCCGAACCCACGCACGUUGAAAAGUGCGGGGAUGAGGUGUGGGUAGCGGAGAAAUUCCAAUCGAACUUGGAGAUAGCUGGUUCUCUCCGAAAUAGCUUUAGGGCUAGCCUCGAGGUAAAGAGUCAUGGAGGUAGAGCACUGUUUGGACUAGGGGCCCUUCUCGGGUUACCGAAUUCAGAUAAACUCCGAAUGCCAUGUACUUAUACUCGGGAGUCAGACUGCGAGUGAUAAGAUCCGUAGUCGAAAGGGAAACAGCCCAGACCACCAGUUAAGGUCCCCAAAUAUAUGUUAAGUGGAAAAGGAUGUGGGGUUGCUUAGACAACCAGGAUGUUGGCUUAGAAGCAGCCACCAUUGAAAGAGUGCGUAAUAGCUCACUGGUCGAGUGACCCCGCGCCGAAAAUGUACCGGGGCUAAACAUAUUACCGAAACUGUGGAUGAACCUCUUUAGAGGUUCGUGGUAGGAGAGCGUUCUAAGGGCGGUGAAGUCAGACCGGAAGGACUGGUGGAGCGCUUAGAAGUGAGAAUGCCGGUAUGAGUAGCGAAAGAAGGGUGAGAAUCCCUUCCACCGAAUAUCUAAGGUUUCCUGAGGAAGGCUCGUCCGCUCAGGGUUAGUCGGGACCUAAGCCGAGGCCGAUAGGCGUAGGCGAUGGACAACAGGUAGAGAUUCCUGUACCAGUGCUAAUUGUUUAACCGAUGGGGUGACACAGAAGGAUAGGGAAUCGCACGAAUGGAAAUGUGCGUCCAAGCAGUGAGUGUGAGAA